This 253-nucleotide ribosomal RNA is filed under the name uncultured bacterium. RNAcentral's name for it is "partial 16S ribosomal RNA". It matches the Rfam family "Bacterial small subunit ribosomal RNA", at positions 524 to 776 of the family's 1533-position model. The record is from RNAcentral.
UACGAAGGGGGCUAGCGUUGCUCGGAAUUACUGGGCGUAAAGGGCGCGUAGGCGGAUAGUUUAGUCAGAGGUAAAAGCCCAGGGCUCAACCUUGGAACUGCCUUUGAUACUGGCUAUCUUGAGUUCGGGAGAGGUGAGUGGAAUGCCGAGUGUAGAGGUGAAAUUCGUAGAUAUCCGGAGGAACACCAGUGGCGAAGGCGACUUUCUGGCCUGUUCUUGACGCUGAGGCGCGAAAGCUAGGGGAGCAAACGGG